RNAcentral lists this ribosomal RNA (392 nucleotides) under uncultured bacterium. RNAcentral's name for it is "partial 16S ribosomal RNA". It matches the Rfam family "Bacterial small subunit ribosomal RNA", at positions 523 to 918 of the family's 1533-position model. The record is from RNAcentral.
AUACGUAUGUCGCAAGCGUUAUCCGGAUUUAUUGGGCGUAAAGCGCGUCUAGGCGGCUUAGUAAGUCUGAUGUGAAAAUGCGGGGCUCAACCCCGUAUCGCGUUGGAAACUGCUAAACUAGAGUACUGGAGAGGGAGGCGGAACUACAAGUGUAGAGGUGAAAUUCGUAGAUAUUUGUAGGAAUGCCGAUGCGGAAGCCAGCAGUCUGGACAAAUACUGACGCUAAAGCGCGAAAGCGUGGGUAGCAAACAGGAUUAGAUGCCCGGGUAGUCCACGCCGUAAACGAUGAUUACUAGGUGUUGGGGGUCGAACCUCAGCGCCCAAGCUAACGCGAUAAGUAAUCCGCCUGGGGAGUACGUACGCAAGUAUGAAACUCAAAUGAAUUGACGGGG